CUCAAUGGAUGGGAAUCGAACCCACGACCUUCCGCUUACCGGGCAGAUGCCAUGACCACUAGGCUACCCUGGA
Molecule: transfer RNA, 73 nt
Filed under: Cordylochernes scorpioides
Lineage: Eukaryota; Metazoa; Arthropoda; Arachnida; Pseudoscorpiones; Chernetidae
Description: tRNA-Thr
Source: RNAcentral